UCCCUGGUGGCUCAGAUGGUAAAGCGUCUGCCUGCAAUGCAGGAGACCCAGGUUCAAUUCCUGGGUGGGGAA
RNAcentral lists this transfer RNA (72 nucleotides) under Ovis aries (sheep). It matches the Rfam family "tRNA". Rfam says of the family: Transfer RNA (tRNA) molecules are approximately 80 nucleotides in length. Their secondary structure includes four short double-helical elements and three loops (D, anti-codon, and T loops). Lineage: Eukaryota; Metazoa; Chordata; Mammalia; Artiodactyla; Bovidae. The record is from Rfam by way of RNAcentral.